CUGCUGCCUUCCGUAGGAGUUUGGGCCGUGUCUCAGUCCCAAUGUGGCCGUCCACCCUCUCAGGCCGGCUACCGAUCGUCGGCUUGGUGAGCCGUUACCCCACCAACUACCUAAUCGGACGCGGGCCCAUCUCACACUGCAAAAGCUUUCCACACCGAAUCAUGCGAUUCUGUGCGCCUAUGCGGUAUUAGCAGCCGUUUCCAGCUGUUGUCCCCCUGUGUGAGGCAGGUUGCCCACGCGUUACUCACCCGUCCCG
RNAcentral lists this ribosomal RNA (256 nucleotides) under uncultured bacterium. RNAcentral's name for it is "partial 16S ribosomal RNA". The record is from RNAcentral.